CCUACGGGAGGCUGCAGUGGGGAAUAUUGCACAAUGGGGGAAACCCUGAUGCAGCGACGCCGCGUGAGUGAAGAAGUCUUUCGGUAUGUAAAGCUCUAUCAGCAGGGAAGAAAAUGACGGUACCUGACUAAGAAGCCCCGGCUUACCUCGUUCCAGCAGCCGCGGUAAUACGGAGGGGGCAAGCGUUAUCCGGAUUUACUGGGUGUAAAGGGAGCGUAGGUGGCAUGGUAAGGUAGAAGGUGAAACCCGGGGGUCAACCCCGCGGAUUGCUUUUGGAACUAUCAGGCUGGAGUGCUGGAGGGGUAAGCGGAAUUCCUAGUGUAGCGGUGAAAUGCGUAGAUAUUAGGAGGAACACCGGUGGCGAAGGCGGCUUACUGGACAGAAACUGACACUGAGGCUCGAAAGCGUGGGGAGCAAACAGGAUUAGAUACCCCAGUAGUC
Molecule: ribosomal RNA, 441 nt
Filed under: uncultured bacterium
Lineage: Bacteria
Description: partial 16S ribosomal RNA
Rfam family: Bacterial small subunit ribosomal RNA
Source: RNAcentral